GGGAUCUGCCCGAUAGAGGGGGAUAACCACUGGAAACGGUGGCUAAUACCGCAUAACGUCGCAAGACCAAAGAGGGGGACCUUCGGGCCUCUCACUAUCGGAUGAACCCAGAUGGGAUUAGCUAGUAGGCGGGGUAAUGGCCCACCUAGGCGACGAUCCCUAGCUGGUCUGAGAGGAUGACCAGCCACACUGGAACUGAGACACGGUCCAGACUCCUACG
Molecule: ribosomal RNA, 220 nt
Filed under: uncultured Pantoea sp.
Lineage: Bacteria; Pseudomonadati; Pseudomonadota; Gammaproteobacteria; Enterobacterales; Erwiniaceae
Description: partial 16S ribosomal RNA
Rfam family: Bacterial small subunit ribosomal RNA
Source: RNAcentral